GAAGCAGCUCUGGGGAGGCCCGAAGCCGCACCGGUGCCGGCAAACCCUUGACAGCACCAAGCUCAAUCCAUCCAUUGUGACGACUUAACAGAAUGUGGCUGCAGAGGCACAUGGCUGCAGAGGCUGAGAUUGGGCGGUCGCAGAGCAAUUUAAACUGAAGGAUGUGACCCCCACGUUACCAAGUUUCCUCCGCUCGCCAGACUCUCUCCUGCGGGUCCGACAGUACCUCAUGAGGCGUGGGUCUCCUCCCAGCUCGCCUUGCUCUUGUCAUCUUCAAAUUUCCUAAUCACAUCCAAUUUUCUUAUUUCUCUAACUUUCAACUUUUUUGGUGAAUUUUAGAAAAUAAAACUCUAAUGUAAAACAA
Long non-coding RNA from Suricata suricatta (meerkat), 364 nucleotides. RefSeq lists it as uncharacterized. The record is from RefSeq and is a predicted model, not a curated record. The transcript has 2 exons. Lineage: Eukaryota; Metazoa; Chordata; Mammalia; Carnivora; Herpestidae.